This 270-nucleotide small RNA is filed under the name Notechis scutatus (mainland tiger snake). Its description in RNAcentral is "7SK RNA (ENSNSUG00000014261.1)". The stretch from base 1 to 199 matches the Rfam family "7SK RNA". From Rfam's summary of the family: 7SK was discovered as an abundant small nuclear RNA in the mid-70s but a possible function has only recently been suggested. Two independent studies have found that 7SK RNA binds the CDK9/cyclin T complex (known as elongation factor P-TEFb). Lineage: Eukaryota; Metazoa; Chordata; Lepidosauria; Squamata; Elapidae. The record is from RNAcentral.
GGGUUGAGGGUGAUCUGUCUGCGGCAUUUGUCACUCAGUUGAUUGUCAGGAUUGAUUUGACUGAUCUGACUUCUUAGAUAGGCUUCACCAUCUUCCCUCAUUUUUCUAUGUGUAUAUCUCUUGAAGUUGUGUAUAUGGUGGAAGAAAACAAUCAUCCCAGUUAGAAGUGUACCACUCUUCAGUCAAGGGUAUACAACAAGAGUGUCAAAGUGGAUUUCUUCAAGGGCCAGAUCAGCAUUAUAGUUCUCCUCCAUGGGCCGGCCGGGGGGG